Molecule: long non-coding RNA, 669 nt
Organism: Oreochromis niloticus (Nile tilapia)
Lineage: Eukaryota; Metazoa; Chordata; Actinopteri; Cichliformes; Cichlidae
Exons: 2
Source: RefSeq, a predicted model, not a curated record
UGCUGCCACGAAGCACGGUUUUUCCCAGUUGAAAGAGAGAAAAGAAGUUCCAUUAACAUUUGUGAGAGAGCUGCCGUAAGCGGUGAACCCCAGACGGGUACCUACCUCGAAGGAGUCGGAGUGUUUCUUCGAACUUUUUGAACUAUUCUGACUGGUUUUUUUUUUGAGGGACAAUUCCAUGUGUGCUGCAUAAGGAGCUGCCAUCGCAGAUCUAGGACACUGUUGCUGCUGUGGAGGGCUUCUGUGUGUCAGGACGCGACUCGUUGAUGCCUGCCGUACCAGGAGGGCGGUAGGAAAAAACAAAAGGAAGUCCACCUGAGAGAUACUUUAUCAUUUUCUUUUGCUACUUUUUUCCCGCCUGGAACUCAGGUUGUUUUUUGUUCUCAAACCCAAAUAGACUGGUAACUAAAUGAAACUGAUACCAUAAAACCUGACGGUUGACAACCAGUAAAAGUCUAGUGGUACCACAUUUUCUUUUCUUUUUCCUUUUCUUUGGGGUGUUGAAAUAUUGUAUUUUCUUUCUUGUCUUACAUCUGUUUUGAUUGUUUCAAUUAUUUUUGUGAUGCAUUUGAGAUGUUUACUGCAUUUGAAGGUAUCCCUACAUUGAGGAUGAGCAAAGGGAACUGAUCCAAGGAAAAUAUAUAUAUAAAGCAAGCCUUGUUUCACCAA